CGCGUAGACGGCUUUUUAAGUCUGGAGUGAAAGUCCUGCUUUCAAGGUGGGAAUUGCUUUGGAGACUGGAAAGCUUGAGUGCGGAAGAGGUAAGUGGAAUUCCCAGUGUAGCGGUGAAAUGCGUAGAGAUUGGGAAGAACACCAGUGGCGAAGGCGACUUACUGGGCCGUAACUGACGUUGAUGCGCGAAAGCGUGGGGAGCGAAACA
Molecule: ribosomal RNA, 208 nt
Filed under: uncultured bacterium
Lineage: Bacteria
Description: partial 16S ribosomal RNA
Rfam family: Bacterial small subunit ribosomal RNA
Source: RNAcentral